Molecule: ribosomal RNA, 253 nt
Filed under: uncultured bacterium
Lineage: Bacteria
Description: partial 16S ribosomal RNA
Rfam family: Bacterial small subunit ribosomal RNA
Source: RNAcentral
UACGUAGGGCGCAAGCGUUAUCCGGAAUUAUUGGGCGUAAAGAGCUCGUAGGCGGUUUGUCGCGUCUGCUGUGAAAGACCGGGGCUCAACUCCGGUUCUGCAGUGGAUACGGGCAGACUAGAGGUAGGUAGGGGAGAAUGGAAUUCCCGGUGUAGCGGUGAAAUGCGCAGAUAUCGGGAGGAACACCGGUGGCGAAGGCGGUUCUCUGGGCCUUACCUGACGCUGAGGAGCGAAAGCGUGGGGAGCGAACAGG